AAUUAGUUUUUUUAUUGAAAAAUAGAAUGAAAGAGUAUAUUAAAUUAAUAUUUUCUUUUUUAUUUUAUUAGAAUUUUUAUUUUUAGUGAAAAUACUUAAAGUAGUUUAUUAGACAAAAAGACCCUAUGAAGCUGAAAAUAUGAAAUUUAUUAUUAUAAGAUAAUAAUUUAUUAUUUGGGGAAAAUAAUAAUAAUUUUAUUAAGUAGUUAUUUUUUUUAAAGAUCCUAUUUUAGGAAUUAUGAAUUAGCUCCUCUAGGGAUAACAGCAUAAUAACUAUAAAAGUUCUUAUUAAAAUAGUUGU
Molecule: ribosomal RNA, 301 nt
Filed under: Paraeuchaeta russelli
Lineage: Eukaryota; Metazoa; Arthropoda; Copepoda; Calanoida; Euchaetidae
Description: partial 16S rRNA
Source: RNAcentral